AACGAACGCUGGCGGCAGGCUUAACACAUGCAAGUCGAGCGCCCCGCAAGGGGAGCGGCAGACGGGUGAGUAACGCGUGGGAACGUACCCUUCUCUGCGGAAUAGCUCCGGGAAACUGGAAUUAAUACCGCAUACGCCCUUUGGGGGAAAGAUUUAUCGGGGAAGGAUCGGCCCGCGUUGGAUUAGCUAGUUGGUGGGGUAAAGGCCUACCAAGGCGACGAUCCAUAGCUGGUCUGAGAGAAUGAUCAGCCACAUUGGGACUGAGACACGGCCCAAACUCCUACGGGAGGCAGCAGUGGGGAAUAUUGGACAAUGGGGGCGACCCUGAUCCAGCCAUGCCGCGUGAGUGAUGAAGGCCUUAGGGUUGUAAAGCUCUUUCACCGGUGAAGAUAAUGACGGUAACCGGAGAAGAAGCCCCGGCUAACUUCGUGCCAGCCGCCGCAGUAA
This 447-nucleotide ribosomal RNA is filed under the name uncultured bacterium. RNAcentral's name for it is "partial 16S ribosomal RNA". It matches the Rfam family "Bacterial small subunit ribosomal RNA", at positions 29 to 523 of the family's 1533-position model. The record is from RNAcentral.